AGGUACACACUUAUUGUAACUGUAUAAAUUAUGCCUAUUACUUAUAUUAUAUUAUUAUAUUAGAUAAUAUUACGCUACUAAAACGUAUUUUUCGUAUGAUAUUAUAAUAAUUAUUAUAUAUUGAUCGUACGAUCAUUGUAAUAUAUAAUCAUCGUUAUAAUAUAUGUAUACACAUAUGCUAUAUAUAUAUAUAUAUAUAUUCUACGUACAUAUGCGUAUGCAUAUGCGUAUUGUUUCAAUGUGGAUUGCCGAUACAAAUACAUAUAUAAUGUCCUUAAUCUAUAAUUAUUAUUAUCGUUAUCGUUAUAUCUAUAUAAUGUAUAAUAUUGUUAUAAACUAUCGAUAAUGAUCGAUGAUCGUCGCGCGUUUACACAUCAUAAUGUACGAGUAAAAAUUUUUGGAAGAAAUUCACAUUAAUAUAUUAUACGAUAAUUAUACAACGUAAUAGGCUUAUAGACGUAAGGAGGUCGACGCAUAAAUGUACCGAUAAUUGUUAUGAUGUUACAUUAUAACGAAAAUAUUCAUUCCGGAAUUCCGAUACCUAAUUGCAUAAGAUUACAUGCAAGGUACCUAACUAAAACAGUAAUCAAAACGAUAGCCGGAAGCGAACGAUUUUUAUUGUUCGUUGUUUCGUCUGACGCCUACAAUAUAAAAUAGUUCGACGUCGAUUGGGACGACGGAAUUGAUUUUUUUUUUUUUUUUUUUUAUGCAUAACAUAUUGCGGGCCGCAGUGGGAAAAAGGGACGAGUGGUUGGCGGUAGAAUGGCGGGGGGAUGGGGGAGGCAUCGAGUUGAGCAGUUCAAAUAUCCGUAUAAUAAUUUAUAUUAUAUCAGCUAUACGCGCGCGCGACACACUGUAUAUUAUAUAACAUUAUUAUAUUAUUAUUAAUUUAUUAUAAUAUAAAUAUAGUUGAGAAUCGCCCGCCCCUUGAGCUUAUUAGAUUAAUUAUUAGUAUUAUUAUUAUUUUUAUUGUUAUCAUUACCUAAAUUAUAUUGUAUUAUAAUAAUAUUAAUAAUUUGAGAGACGUAAACGAGUGCGUUUUAUCAAAUAUUCAUUACAUUUAUUAUAUACCUAUAUAUUAUUAUUAUUAUUAUUAUUAUCGUAAAGAAGAAACAAAACAAAAAAAAAAAAAAUCUGCAGACUGCGCAGCCAACAAAGCACGACGAGCAUUAUAAACAAUACAAUAUAAGCACAGCUAUAAUAAUAUAAUAUGUACACAUUAUAUUAUACAGUUUAAGUGCGAUAAACCGUCAUUUACAAUAAUUAUUAACCUAUAAACGGUAUAAUAUAAUAUAUUAUGUAUAAUAUGGUGUCAAAAGAACUAUUGAGCACGAUGAAAUUUCACAGCAUGUCCCGCGAGACGACAGAAACGGUAAUGUUAUGAAAAAAAAAUAAAACAAAAUACAAUGCACUUUUAAACACAACAAUUUUUCAGGAUAUGCGAACGUAAAAAAGUAAAUUUAUAACGAAUAUAUUGCCUAUCGUUUUCAAGUAUAUAGGUACCUAUUAACUGUACCUAUGCGACUAUAUUAUCAUAAUGAUUAUUAAUGAUUAAACCGAUCACAGACUCGAGUGUACCGCCAAUGAUUCUAUAGUAUAAUACGUAGUUAGUGGCGUGCGCAGCAGUUAUAUUCCCCGGCCCCAUUCAACAACUAUGAGUGUAUUUAUUUAUUUAGUGAUUCGGUCUUGAAACGCGGAAUACCUGCGGUAUAUUAUAUUUCAGCCGAGUUACAACGAAUAAGGAAGAGCCUGAUUUACUAUGAUUAAACAUUGGUUUUUUUGUUUUUUUUUUAUAUAUAUAAUGCCAAAGUCGAGUUGGGUAUACAGAAGACGAUUUUGACAAUCUCUUCGUGAUAAUUAUUUGCUACGUCCCAUUGGAGAUCCCGGGACGCGCCACUGAACUAACGGAAUAUAAUACUAUAAAAUCAACGGCGUAAUUAUUACUUUAUUCUUAUAAUCUAACGUUAUUCCAGUCGAAAAAAUAAAUAAUAAUAAUAGUAUUUCCGGUAUCUAUUAUAUUACGCAGGUACCUAUUUUCAAUAAUAAUAUUGUUCAAUCGAGUUUUUCACGUGUCAACCGUGAUGCUCAAUCGUUAUCAGACGCGCCGAACGCAUUACGAGGUGCGGUAGAAACAACGCACCAAUAUAGCGAUUCAAAUCAUAGACCGUUUGGACACCGAAAAUAAUGGGUCGUGGUAUGUUUGGGUGCAAACAAUUACUAUAAAACCAUGAAAUAUUUGGCAAUUAGAUUUUUAUACAAAUUUAAAAUGACACCAGGAUUCAGGAUUCUAGAGACAUUUUAGAAUGUCGGAAAAGUAAUAAAUUGUAAUAGUUAUUAAAACACUUUUAGAUUGCAUAUGGAAACAUAUUAUAGAUGUAGGGUGGUGGAUUACGGGCCUUUACAACGGAUUUGAAAUCUAUACACAAAUAUAGUAAUCGUUAAUAUAAAUAUCAUCCCUAAGUAAAUAUUAAGUGAAAGUAAAACGAGGUUGAAAAAGUUAUUGAAAAUAUUUUAACAUUUUGGUGCCCGAUCAACACCGCCAUUGUUGAUAAUAACGAAAUCGGCAUGACCAAACGGAUUGUGUUUGUGAAGACUAUUGCGCGUAAACAUUUCGGUGCCCAAACGUCUUGCCCCACGCUAUAGAUUGAAAUUAACGCUUGAUGGUGUACAAAAAUCUAAAAAAUAAUAAUUAUAAUAAAAAAAUAUUUUUUUUUCUUUUUUAACAGACGCUCAAGGCCGGAUGAAGUGUCUGGCAGGCGUCACACAAUGGGACGGAAUGGAACCUAGCUCGCCAAAAACCGUUAAUGGAUAGAUUGUGUGAUCAAAUAUUGAUAGACUCCGAAAAAAAAAAAACCACAGAUAUUUAUUAUAUUCAAUAUAUAACCUAAUAAUUAAUUAAUUAUAAUAAUAAUUUGUAAUUCCGAACAUAAAAUCAUCAUUCCAAGUUGAAUUUCGCAAUUUUUUAAAAUGUAUUUUUCACACUAACAUAAAUCAUACGUACAGAAUAAUCACGGGAGGAGCUUGAGAAACGUUUUUCUGUUAUCGCACCUAAACUCAAAGCACGGAAAUUGCGGCGAUUAGCGUGAAAAUUCACGCUAAUCACAUAUUAAAUAUUGGCAUAAAAACAUUUGCGAAUGCGAAGAAAGGGGGCUGAAAGAAGAGAAGGGCAGCUUUCAAGUUUGCGGAUUUGAAAUGUUGAAAUAAAAAAUAAUUUCAACAUUUCUCGACGACCAAGUUAAAAAUUCCUAUGUAUUUAAAAGAAAGUGGUACGGAUAAGUUGGCCCCAAGUACGAAACUGAAGGUAUUUAGAAUAAUUUUUACAGCAAUAAUUUAAAUUUACAUUAUCAUUAAAAUAUAAUAAACAUCUAUAUUGUAUACUUUAUAAUUAUAAUGUCCGAGAAGUCGUUGUUUUAUAUUUUCAAUCGGUAAAUUAUAUUUGACGAGUUAAAAGUCGUUCCAUCCCAUCAUGUGCCGCAGCCAAACUCGGAAACCUCGAAAACGUCUUUUUUUUAUAUAUAUAUAUAUAAAUUGUGUGUAAAUUUUUGUACUACAAAAUCGAUUACGAACGUUAUUUUAUUUAUAUAGGUAAAUUACGACGGCACGGCGGGCCUUAAAUAAACACGUCUGUGGGCCCGGGGAACGUGCCCCCCUCUUAAGGGGCCUCGUCACUAACGUUCGUUUUCUCUGUCUCCGUCACGACCGUAAUAUAGCAACAAAGGCGAUUCGCUGAUUGAAUUUGGGCCAAACUUUGGGCUAUAUUGUACACAUUUUACAAAGAAAAUUGAUUACCGUAAAUACGCAGAUCCUACGAACGGUUUGUUAAAUAAUUUUCGUAUUUUUUGUCCACACACGCGUGUUCGAUUUUCUCUUAAUUUUAAAACAUUCAUAAUACUAUUAAUACGAAAAUAUGUAAACAAAGAGACCCUUUAGGAUACGUAUUACAGUAAAAUUGUCGUAUCCGUAAAACGUGUCUUUGCCUGCAGAAUGCCUUUGCCGCUGUGUGUGCGCGCAAACACGCAGACGGAGACAACGGAAUGCUAGGGACGGGGGCUUGCGAACGCAACAAUAUUAUAAUAAUAUUUUGAAGUCGGGUCUAAAGCGGUGUACAUGCUAUUAUUAUAAUGUACCUAUAUAACAUUAUCGUAUGACUUUUUUUUUAUUUUUUUUUUUUAUCUAAAAACAAAACCUAAAAUUAUAUAACAAAAUAUCAUACGUCGUCGUAUAAUAUGUCAUUGGGGCUUGCCUUAAUGUUAUCGUCAUCUGUCCACGAACUCCGGCCUUUUGAACAUUAUCGAAACAUAUCGUCGAUAUAGGUAAUAAUAAUUAUUAUGGAAUUAUUAAACGUACCUAUAUAUAUUUAUUAAUACUGUUUUAAUACUGUAAUUAUUUAGCCCUAUACACCAUUAAAUUGUGUAAAUAUAAACUUUAAUCGAACUGUUUAGGUAAAAAAUAUUUAAUAAUAAUGAUAAUUAAAAAAAAAAAAAAAAAACGCCGCGACGACUAGUUUUCAGUAGCAACGGGACGUUUUUACCGUUAUUAUUAUUAUUUUUAAAUCCUAUUUUUCUGAAAGACUGAUGUACACGCGUUUCACGCCGAAAAUCAAAAUAUGUUAUCAUUUAUAACAAUAGUGGUUUACAGGUGCACGGCGGAAACACGCGACAAACGGAAAUUCUAAUAUUAUACAAGACGUAUGUGUAGUGUGUGUGUGUGUGUGUUUGUGUGUGUGUGCAUAUAUAAUAAUAUAUCAGUAGGUAUAUAUCAUAAUUUUUUUUGGCAUAAUAAUAUAGGAUUUUUAAGUUUAAUAUAUUGAGCAAUUGAUUCCGUUAAAUUUGUUUUGACCACCUCCGUCCUCCCCCUCCCACCCCUCCGAGCAUAAUAUAUAAUAAUAUAAUACGUAUAGAUCGAGCACUCUGCACUGAAAACUAGCCGGACGAGAAUUUAUACGAUACGGUACUUAUAAUAAUAUUAUGUCGACGUCAAAAUAAUAAUGCACAUAGACGACCGAUAUUGCUGGCAUAAUAUUAAUACAUAAUAAUAUUGGUAUUACUCGUGGGCGACCUACCUCGAGAUAACAAUAAUAUUACGCCGGACCUGACGUGAACGAUUUUCGCGGGCCCGUAAACUAACCACCAGAUGGAGCCGGUGCGCGCGACGGGACCCGGCGCCGACACGCCGCCGAUCGAUAUGGUAAACAAUACGCUGAUAUUUUCAUUUUUUUUUUUCACCGUACCUACGGCUACUACGACAGCGGUUUAAAGCGAGACUUUUUGAAUUUCGUAUUGCGCGCGAAAAUGCCCGCGGCAUAUUACGUGAAGUGUACCGGUGGCGCUAAAAAUGUUUGUUACAGAAUUGGAUUCUAUGGAAAUUUACAUUGUAAUUAGAGGUACAGGAGCAUCGUUUUCAGAGCUAAACGAAGUACUAACGGACGAAUUUUGGUUAUUCUAGUGUCGAGUGUUCUGUAUUGUAUUUAUUCUUGGGGAGAAUCGCAAGGAAAUCGAGACGAUCGGGAUGGGAAAAUGCGACCCAGUUGAGUGCAAAAGCCGAAAAAGAUAGGCGUAUACCGACCGAUUACAUUGUGCAGCGAAAGAUUUCGAGUGGAUGGAAAGGGGCGAGAGAAUGGGUAUACUGUAAAAAACAAGGAGCAAAACGAGACGGCUGUGCGGAUACGAAAAUAUACGGGACGGAAAAUUGCGUAACGGCAACGAGAUUUCCGGAGAAAAGGCGACGGAUCGGCGGCGUGUUAUCGUAUUAUGUGUGCGGCGUGCGAAAAAGUUUCGCGGACCUCGUCAUUAUCGGAUGGUUUCGAAAAAAGAAAAAAAAAAACCGUUCGACGUUUCUGGAAAAUUAAUUACGAUACAUGCCCGUCGGCGGCGUUGUGUAUACGUGACUCGAAAAGGAAAAAUACAUAAUAAUAUAACAAAUACGUAUUAUAUAAUAAUAUAGAUAACGUUAUCAUUAUCUCGGGGCAUACCGUCCGGAUCGGCGGCGGCGGCGGCGGCGGCGGAUCGCCACGCCCGAGUGGCGACAGUGGCGACACCGUAUCGCGCACACGCGCCCCCAAUGGCCCGGGUGCGCGAUCCGGUCGGGAUUCGAUCGAAACGUCAUACGGUUUGAAAACGUUUUCCCCGUCGAAAAACAUAGGCGUAUUAUCGGAAGUACUCGCGGUCUCCCGUCAAUAUUAAACAACUUUAUUGUGUACACAAUGAAAUGGGAGGAGAAAAACAAUGUUCGUUGAAACGUUGAGCUAUUAUUAUAUAGGUAUACUCUUAAAUAUUAUAUUCUACGGUCGACCGGUAAAAACCGUUCGAACAACGCGUGAAAUUUCGAUCGCUCGACCUUUUCGACCUGCGCAUACGAUCACAUGACCAUUCGAUCAAAUGACCCGCACAUCACGCAUACCAAACACUACUACAGUGAUAAUUGAGCUUAUGUUUUGGGGAAGUAGUUUUUGAGUUGCGGGCGGGCGGGGCGGCGGCGGCGGCGGCGGCGACGACGGCG
This is a non-coding RNA of Cinara cedri, 6498 nucleotides long. Lineage: Eukaryota; Metazoa; Arthropoda; Insecta; Hemiptera; Aphididae. The record is from the annotation of a GenBank genome assembly.